Long non-coding RNA from Populus nigra (black poplar), 570 nucleotides. RefSeq lists it as uncharacterized. The transcript has 2 exons. The record is from RefSeq and is a predicted model, not a curated record. NCBI's taxonomy places the organism in Eukaryota, Viridiplantae, Streptophyta, Magnoliopsida, Malpighiales, Salicaceae.
UAUCCGCAAACCAUCCAACCCUCCUUAUCCGGAUAAAAACCCAUAUCCACAAACACUGCGUCCCUCCCUCCCUCUGCAAUUCACUCUCCCAUUUCUCACUUGAAGAAGAUCAGCCCAAGAAAAUGGCGGUGAAGAUUCGUUUAUUUUCAUAGGCUGGGAUGCAAAAACAGGGCAUUUUACAGAAUUGUUGCUGCUGAUAGCCAUACAGAGUUAUCUGUUCACUUUUUACCAAUUUUGAAUUAAAGGAGGAGAAAACUGAUGGAUCAAUCUUUAGUUUGCAUGAAGCUCUUGUAUUGGUUAUGAGAGCUCAGCCUACAGACACCGUGCGUGGCAUUCUUAUGAGAGAUGGUUUAAUAUCGCCACCACCGAUGGUUGUUAUGGGGCAGAAAAAGGGACCAGCUGGUGAGACCUCGAAUCCAGAUAAGUAAAUUACCCUGUAAAAGUUACCAUCUCUGCUGCUUUUAUGCUUCUUCUGUUUUGUACCUGUAUGCUUGAUCCAGCACUGAAUGGGUUCAGAGCUAAAUUUCCUUUCCAGGUUGUUGAAUGAAUUCAAGUUUAAAAUUCUCUUAA